This 351-nucleotide unclassified non-coding RNA is filed under the name soil metagenome. RNAcentral describes it as "partial contains 5.8S ribosomal RNA, internal transcribed spacer 2, and large subunit ribosomal RNA". The stretch from base 1 to 120 matches the Rfam family "5.8S ribosomal RNA", at positions 35 to 154 of the family's 154-position model. The record is from RNAcentral.
GAUGAAGAACGCAGCGAAAUGCAAAAAGUAAUGUGAAUUGCAGAAUUCAGUGAAUCAUCGAAUCUUUGAACGCACAUUGCGCCCGCCAGUAUUCUGGCGGGCAUGCCUGUCUGAGCGUCAUUUCAACCCUCACGCCCCUAGGGCGUGGUGUUGGGGAUCGGCCAAGGCCCGCAAGGGACGGCCGGCCCCUAAAUCUAGUGGCGGACCCAUCGUGGCCUCCCCUGCGAAGUAGUAAUAUAUUCCGCAUCGGAUAGCGAUGAGCCCCUGCCGUUAAACCCCCAACUCUUUCAAGGUUGACCUCAGAUCAGGUAGGAAUACCCGCUGAACUUAAGCAUAUCAAUAAGCGGAGGA